RNAcentral lists this small RNA (157 nucleotides) under Pongo abelii (Sumatran orangutan). RNAcentral's name for it is "processed transcript". Lineage: Eukaryota; Metazoa; Chordata; Mammalia; Primates; Hominidae. The record is from RNAcentral.
GCCCGGGUUCCUCGGACUGCCGAGGGCAGGCGUGGGUGGGUGGGUGACUUCAGGCCCGCAGGAUUGCCUUCCUAAACCCUGUGACACCUAAGGUGAAGGUGAUAAAGUAAAGUGCUUUCACUGUGGAGGAGGGCUAACUGAUUGGAAGCCCACUGAA